CGAGGUUUAGCAAAUCUCUUAAAGCCGUUCUCAGUUCGGAUUGUAGGCUGCAACUCGCCUACAUGAAGUCGGAAUCGCUAGUAAUCGCGGAUCAGCAUGCCGCGGUGAAUACGUCCCCGGGCCUUGUACACACCGCCCGUCACACCAUGAGAGUUUGUAACACCCAAAGCCGGUGGGGUAACCUUUUGGAGCCAGCCGUCUAAGGUGGGACAGAUGAUUGGGGUGAAGUCGUAACAAGGUAGC
RNAcentral lists this ribosomal RNA (243 nucleotides) under uncultured bacterium. RNAcentral describes it as "partial 16S ribosomal RNA". It matches the Rfam family "Bacterial small subunit ribosomal RNA", at positions 1258 to 1500 of the family's 1533-position model. The record is from RNAcentral.